This 96-nucleotide small nucleolar RNA is filed under the name Erinaceus europaeus (western European hedgehog). The record is from RNAcentral. Lineage: Eukaryota; Metazoa; Chordata; Mammalia; Eulipotyphla; Erinaceidae.
GUGCGUUUAUCCGCUGCACUACCGCCUGACUCCCAGGUGAAGGGAUAAUUAGCAAUAUAGCUAAAUAGUCAUGCUACCAGUCUCCUUCAAACAGAG